This 471-nucleotide ribosomal RNA is filed under the name uncultured bacterium. RNAcentral's name for it is "bacterial SSU rRNA". It matches the Rfam family "Bacterial small subunit ribosomal RNA", at positions 355 to 825 of the family's 1533-position model. The record is from RNAcentral.
UGGGGAAUUGUUCACAAUGGGCGCAAGCCUGAUGACGCAACGCCGCGUGGAGGAUGAAGGUCUUCGGAUUGUAAACUCCUGUUGCUCGGGACGAAAAGCUCUGACCUAACACGUCAGAGUCUGACGGUACCGAGUGAGGAAGCCCCGGCUAACUCUGUGCCAGCAGCCGCGGUAAUACAGAGGGGGCAAGCGUUGUUCGGAAUUACUGGGCGUAAAGGGCGCGUAGGCGGCCAUCUAAGUCAGACGUGAAAUCCCCGGGCUCAACCCGGGAACUGCGUCUGAUACUGGAGGGCUUGAAUCCGGGAGAGGGAUGCGGAAUUCCAGGUGUAGCGGUGAAAUGCGUAGAUAUCUGGAGGAACACCGGUGGCGAAGGCGGCAUCCUGGACCGGUAUUGACGCUGAGGCGCGAAAGCCAGGGGAGCAAACGGGAUUAGAUACCCCUGUAGUCCCUGAGCGGGCUGGCAAGGCGCAU